AGGCUCGCCUCGGCAGCACAGAUACUAAAACCGGAACGAUACGGAGAAGAUUAGCAUGGCCCCUGCACAAGGAUGACAUGCAAAUUCGGGAAUAGCUUGGCAGCAAG
Molecule: small nuclear RNA, 107 nt
Organism: Ursus americanus (American black bear)
Lineage: Eukaryota; Metazoa; Chordata; Mammalia; Carnivora; Ursidae
Source: Ensembl